This 503-nucleotide ribosomal RNA is filed under the name uncultured bacterium. RNAcentral's name for it is "bacterial SSU rRNA". It matches the Rfam family "Bacterial small subunit ribosomal RNA", at positions 32 to 507 of the family's 1533-position model. The record is from RNAcentral.
ACGACGCUGGCGGCGUGCCUAAUACAUGCAAGUCGAACGGUCUUUUCUAUGGAAGCUUGCUUCCACUGAGAAGAUAGUGGCGAACGGGUGAGUAACACGUGGGUAACCUGCCCAUAAGAGGGGGAUAACAUCCGGAAACGGGUGCUAAUACCGCAUAGUUUUCUUGAUCGCAUGAUUGAGAAAGAAAGACGGCCUUUGUGCUGUCGCUUAUGGAUGGACCCGCGGCGUAUUAGUUAGUUGGUGAGGUAACGGCUCACCAAGACGAUGAUACGUAGCCGACCUGAGAGGGUGAUCGGCCACAUUGGGACUGAGACACGGCCCAAACUCCUACGGGAGGCAGCAGUAGGGAAUCUUCCGCAAUGGACGAAAGUCUGACGGAGCAACGCCGCGUGAGUGAAGAAGGUUUUCGGAUCGUAAAACUCUGUUGUCAGAGAAGAACAAGUUGGAGAGUAACUGCUCCAGCCUUGACGGUAUCUGACCAGAAAGCCACGGCUAACUACGUG